UGCCGGAGCCGUCCGGCGUCUGUUUCGGAUUACCCAGCACGACCGAGCAUCCCGGACGCUGUCCAAGCAUUCAUCUGGCAGAUAAUGGAAAAACAGGCCCCAGCUUUGUACCCAGUCGGAAUGCAAAAAAAGGUGAUCAAGACUCUCGAAGCUCUGCUGAGCUCCACUUUGGGCACCAAACCUGCAGAGACCGCUCUCGUGGCUUGACGUCACCAGUCCAAAGCAGGGUCACUUCCCCCCAGAAAUAGGUGGAAACAGCAGGGGUCUGUAUGAGUUUGAGGGGGCUGUUGGACAUUUCAGAGGGAGUGCAGAGGACUCAGAUGGGACCCCUGGUGGUUGAUAUGGACCGACUGGAACUAGAGGGGAAGAGAACUAGAGGGGAAGAGCCUGGGUCCCUCCUCUGAGCUCCUUGGGCACCGGGGCCCUGCACACGUGGCACUGAUCCCAUUCUGCCUGGUCAGGACUGGUGAGCUUGGCCGUUCUCUCAAGAAGGCUGUGUGCACCGCUCGUGAAGUGCCAGGCUCAACACCAAGCUUUUGUGAGCUGGAAAAUCCACAGCUUCGCCUGAUGGGCCCCCAGGAGCCCACGUCCUCCUACCGGAGAAAGCACACGGCCGCGGAAGCACACGUGUGUAGCCCGCCUCCCGUGCCGCCCCCAGGCUCUGGGCCUUCUCUGAGUUGCCCUAAAACAGAGUUUCCCAGAGAGUGCAGUGAGUCCACUGGCGGCCUCCAAGGGGUGAUAGUCGGUCUGCUGCAGGGAGGGAAGCACAGACCUCCUCCAGACUUGGGGUGUGGGAACAUCUUUGGGAGCACCUGCUUAGCCAUCGGCAGGGCUGGCUGUGUCUGGCGUGAACAGCACGG
Molecule: non-coding RNA, 860 nt
Organism: Microcebus murinus (gray mouse lemur)
Lineage: Eukaryota; Metazoa; Chordata; Mammalia; Primates; Cheirogaleidae
Source: RefSeq, a predicted model, not a curated record